Aquila chrysaetos chrysaetos is the source of this 5228-nucleotide RNA transcript. It is a transcript of the gene named UV stimulated scaffold protein A, with no coding region annotated. The record is from RefSeq and is a predicted model, not a curated record. The transcript is spliced from 14 exons. NCBI's taxonomy places the organism in Eukaryota, Metazoa, Chordata, Aves, Accipitriformes, Accipitridae.
CCUGAGGGGCGGGACUUCCCCUGAGGCAGCGGCCCGGCCCGGCCCGGCCCGGCGUCCUGACAGGGCUCGGCGGGGCGGUUGUCCCGUCAGCUCGGCGUCUCGCUGCCGGCAGAGAUGGACCAGCGCCUCGCCGAGCUGGUGGAGGAGCUCACCACCUCGGGGGAACAGCGGCUGGAGCCCGGCAGGCUGAAGGAGCUGAAGAACAUCUGCAAGUCUUCAGAUGAACAUAUCAGCCAUGCCUAUCACCUGCUGAUGACGCGGCUCAAUGAGGACCACGCUGAGAUGCGCUUCUCAGCUUUCCAGAUCAUGCAGGAGUUGUUCGUCAGAUCACAUCAAUUCCGGAUGCUAAUUAUUUCCAACUUCCAAGAGUUCUUGGAGCUCACGGUGGGGAUAGACCAUGAGCAGCCUCUUCCCCCACCCAAAGAGGUGGCACAGAAACUGAGGAAAGCAGCCAUUAAGUCAGUGCAAGACUGGCAUGAGAAAUACGGGGAGGCCUACAAGAAGCUUUCUCUGGGAUACCACUUCUUAAAGCAGAAUAAGAAGGUGGAUUUUCAAGAUGUGCAUGCCAGAACUGUGGCUGAAAGGAGGAGGGAAGAGGAGAAGCAAAAACGAUUGGAUAACAUUUACAAAGAAAAAGCCAAAAGAGCUGAAAAAGAAAUGGAAGAAAUGUCCCAAGAGAUUGCCAACGCACUGACAGAGAUGGAAAACUGUUUCCGGCUUCUGAUGCCAGAUCCUUUUGACUUCACUGCAAAUGACACGGAACUGGAACCUAACAAACAAAUGUCUGCUAAUGAGGACAGACCUGCAUCCCCGUUGUCUUCCCGGAUGGAAGUUAACCAGUCCUGUUUUGGAUGCAUGGAUGAUGAACAGCCAUGCUGCAGCAAGGACGUUCUUCUUGUUUCUCAGUGUGUUAGAACCGAUAGAACCAAAGAGUUAGAAGAGAAACAGGAGAAGCCUGAGCAAGAAGAAUUAGAUGGAGGCUCGUGCUCAGAAGCUCAAUCUAGUGUCCCAGCUCUCAGUGAUGACGAUUACCAGACUUUUGUUAGGAACCAUGGGCUUAUUUCACAUAAGUAUACUCUAGACCUUGAAAUCUCCACAGAAAUAAAAGUGCAUGAGAAUGAAGAUAAUACUGCCAUAAUAAACAAUGUCAUGGAUGCUCACAAACUUCUCAGAAAUAAGUUCUGGCCUUCUGUGCAGUCCUGGAUUCAGUUAUUUACCAGAGCAGGAAUAGAUGAUGAUCGCCUAAGAUGUGCCAUUGAUCUCAAGAAUAAAUUGGAGACUGCUAUGAAGAAAUACAAGGAAAUGAACAUUUCCUUUAAAGCAAAAAAAAGAAAAGUGAUGAAAGCCUUGGAUGAUGACGAUGACGAGGAUGAAGAUGAAUUUGUGGAGGUCCCUGAGAAGGAAGGUUAUGAGCCCCACAUUCCAGACCACCUGCGUAAGGAAUAUGGGCUAGAGCCGCAGUCACCUCCAAAAGCACCAGUGGGGAAGACAUCAAUGGGGACAGCUCCGCUGAGCUCCCGCACCCAGCUGAAAGGGAAUGAAGACGAACUUGAUCCAACCUGUGCAGCUGCCACACUGAAACUUAUUAGAGACAAGCUACCAAAGUUACCACCGCCACAUGCCAGUGACUGUGCAACUACUGAGCCAGCAGCCUUGGAAGAGCCUGACAGUAAGAGAAGAAAACUAGAAGAAGAAAGAGCUAAAGCUCCCCUCAUGCCUUUUGGAUUAGAUCUUCACUACUGGGGACAGGAUCAGCCAAGUGCUGGGAAGAUUCUCAAAUUUACUUCUGAGCAUCGAUUUUGGGCACCCAGUGAAGUAGAGGAAGAGGUGGAAAAUAAAGAAAUAACUGAAAUGUUAAAAACUAGAUACAUAACAUUUGCUGGCAAAUUUGAACCAGUGAAACAUAAAUGUCGAGCACCAAUGCCUGAUGGAAGUCUGUGUGAAAGACAAGAUCGGAUUAAGUGCCCUUUCCACGGUAAGAUAAUUCCUCGGGAUGAAUCUGGGAUUCCCGUUAAUGCGGAGGACAGAGCCAGAGAAGAAAAGAUGCGGUUUGAGAAGCAAGCAGCUCAGCCAGGACUUGAAGCAAGUCUAAGCAGCACUGCUAUGGAAAACAUACAAGUGGGAACCCACUCUGUACAAGUGGCGAGACCCAGAAUUCAUGAGAGAAGUUGAAGCAGCUACAGGAGUGGAUCUUGGUUCCUCUAAAAAUAAUGGAAAAGGAGGGAAAAAGAAAGGGAAGAAGAAAAAAUAUCCAAAUCUGACAGACCUGAAGCAGCAGGCUAACACUUCUCGUUCCCGGCUUGAGAAGAAAGUCUUCAAUAAAGGUGCUAUGAAACGGGUGGUGAAAGCAAUGAACCGAGUGGACCAAAGAAAGCACGAGAAGUUUGCCAACCAGUUUAACUAUGCACUGAAUUAAAUUGUUGAUCUUCUUUACCCUUCAUUUUAGUACAAGAGUGCAACUGCACAAAACCUUUAUCACAGAUCUUCAUAUUUACACUAAAAUACUGUGCUAGGUGCAUUUUUACUGGGGUAAUUUUUUAAUUUGUUUUCAACUUUAACUUAUUUGAUAAUGAAUAUUAAUUUUGGCAAAGAUAUGGUGGUAUAGAAUGAAAUGCAUUUAACAAGUUGAUAAUUAUUUGAACUGUAGAUGAAAUAGAGCAUGUUUUAUGACUUGUACAUAAUCUGGGUAAUAUGUUCAAGUUUGGGGUUUUUUUUCCUUCCUAAGGGACUCUUGUAAUUUAUACCUCCUUUGCCAACAUGUGUGUUGUAAUUUGCCUCCACUUUCAUGCCUUCAGAAAAAAGAUGCCUUAGAAACACUUAGAUUUCUACCAGAGAUAGCAACACACAGAGUAUUUGCUCAGCCUACAACUCUAGAAGGUGUACCACAUCAAGCAGCACAGUGAUUCCUGCAGUACCUCUAAAGACUUUUUGUGUACACGCUAAAAAAAAAUCCAAAUCAACUGAUGCCUACAGGUAAUGAAUGGAGUAGAGUUUGAUUUCAGCAAACUGAAAUCCAGGAAUGAAUUCAAACUUGAUAGCUGUGGCACUAGUGGAGAAGCUGAAAUGACAAAGGUCAUCCUGGUCUGCUGCUUGUCUUCCCAAGAUGGUAUCCCAGUAUCUUUCAGAACUGUAUCUGGACAGCAUGCUGUGAAAGUUUGGAGAGAUACUCAGAAUGUGCUGUAGUUUAACUGAUGCUAAAAAGCUCCAGUACAAAGCGAAAGUAUGAGGUUUUAAAAAUCAUUCAAGUGUCAUACUGCACUACUGAACUGCCUGGCUUGAAUCGGUUAAAAUUACAUCGGGAUCAAGCCUGAGAGUGCUUAGUCACUCACCUGUUGGAGGUCUUUCCUCGUGCAUCAAGAGACUAUAAGACUUUAAAAAAGGAGAAAAUUUAAACUCCUCAGUGUAGAUUCUGACCACCUCAGUCAAAAGCUAAUUUACAGUUCUGCCAAAUACCUUUUGACUUGCACAAGUACUGCUUAGAAGGCAAUUAAUGCUGAAUCUUGAUAGUUUAUUUUGCGAGAGCUCUGCAGUUUGGAGGACAAUUUCCUCUUCAACACAGGUAUUUAGAAGAUGUACUUCUAAACUACCAGAAAUAAAAUAAUAAAGAGCCAGAAUUUCAAAAGCUAUCAUCUGCUGCACUGGAAAGAAAAACCACUUCUACUAUCAGGCUAGCUAACUUAGUAGUGAAGGCUUCAGGUGAAAAUGUAGACAAGGACAAACCAAGUUCAUCACUAGGUCAGUUGAAUCAACUGCUAAACUGAUGUUAUUUCUUAUCAAGGAUAAAGACACACACAAAAAAAACCCCAAAACAAAACCAACACCACCACAACCCUGCAUAUUUGAAUGUAAGGUAGAUCAUUGGAUGCUGGGAUCGCAGAACAGUCUAAAUGAAACUGUUUGAUCUUGGAGAUUAACAUUCAAGAGAGCCGCAGAGGUCAUCGUGCCACUAUUCCAGAGAUUCUUGAGCCUGCACAGACUGAAGGUGUUCAUUCAUAAGACAUGUUUUCUCUCCUUGUAAAAACAGUGGGCAUUUAUAUUGUGCAGUGGCACUUAACCCUUCUUUGCUGUGGAUGUGAGAUGUCAGCACUAGAAAAUUUCCAGCAAACAGUAGGUGCACUUUACCCCAUGGAGUUCCCAUUUUGGGCCUUUAGUAAAAUAAUAAAAAAAAAAAGCCCAAAGACCAAGAUUGGAAAGGGAAUUUGUAGAAAUCUGUGAGAAAAGAGUGUGCUUAGCAAGUAAUGCUCCAUUAUGACUCAGUCACAUCACUUCUAGAAUUAUCAGCUGAAACUUCCUAUCUGGACCUGAGUGUCCAAUCCACCUGAUCCUAUUGUGUGAUCUAUAUGCUCCCCCCCUUUCUUUAUUAAAAACACACAUGCAUACAAAAAGGUGUUUUUUCUAGAGUGCCUCUUUCAUGCAGAAGGAGAAUUUGCAGAAUUAAGGUUUCCCAGCAAGUGACUUGGAGAUGGCUAACUCAGACACAGGUGCAUGGACUUUGGACCAGGUUAGUGAUAACCUUUUUUAGAGCUCUUCUACUUUUCUUUUUUUCUGGUCUUGUUGCAGUAACUUUUUGUGUCAGGUGGGGAAUAUACCCAGUUGGAUAUGAAUUUUUUUGUUCCUCUUUCUGCCUUGAAGUAAGAAAGACCAUAGAUUCUUCAUAGGAGAAUGUGUUAAACACCCAUUCACUGUAGCACUGCCUUUAUGCUAGCCUGACCUCUUACCAGCAUGCAUCUUCCCCUCAUCCAGUGUUUGAGAAACCCGUGCUUCCCGUCCCGUGUUAAUGAUUGCCUCAUUUAAUCAAAUGAUUUCUCUACAAGGGCAAUUCAGCAUAUAUACACAGAACAGGUCUUGAAUUUUGCCACAUUAAGCAUUCUCAGUAGACCUGGUCAGACAUAAUUUAGAGGAUUCAGGGAGCUUUCUUCUUUUCCUGGGUUUAUCUGUAGCUCUGCUAGAGGAAAAUUUUUAAAAAGGCACCUAUCUCCAAAGAUCCAGCAUACCUUCAUUAGAUAGAAAUCCUUUUAAGUUCAGAAUAAAUCAAUCUACUUCUUAGAUACAUCACACCUCUUUGUGCUUUACUUUACUUAAAGCAGUUUACAAAUUUGAAGUCUCUGAGCUCACCAGCUAUUCAAACAUGUUAGUUGCUAAACUGUGUGACAUUUCUGCUGGAAUUUUUCUAUUCCUGUCCUCAGGGAUUCUGGGAAAAAAAAUAAAUACAAGCAUCAUUCACAUCA